UUAGACUAUCGAAAGCAGUCCAUAUGGAAAGGGAUAUAUGAUGGAGAAUAUAAUACGUUACCACCCUCUCUCAAUUGGACCUCUUUGCCCUCUAGUCCUUUAGCCACUUUCCCUCUCAUUUCAGGACAUUUGACUUUCUCAUUCAGAAGAAGAGGAAGCUAGUGGUCUUUGUACAUGCACUGCUUGGUUAACGCAACUUAUAUGAUUUCACAGCACCCGCUAUGAGAAAUGCUGGAAGAAGACCGUAGUUUUGGUUGCAUAAACAGAAGCAGGAACGACUACAAUGCAGCUUGCCAAGGAGCAAAAGUCUGCAAAAAGAGGUAGUCAUUGGGAAUUCAAAUACACAGUAACUUUGGUUGCACAGACAGAAGCAGAAACGACUACAAUGUUAGCUUGCUCCUGGCAA
Brassica oleracea var. oleracea is the source of this 406-nucleotide long non-coding RNA. RefSeq lists it as uncharacterized. The transcript has 3 exons. NCBI's taxonomy places the organism in Eukaryota, Viridiplantae, Streptophyta, Magnoliopsida, Brassicales, Brassicaceae. The record is from RefSeq and is a predicted model, not a curated record.